UAAUGACUCCAUGGAGGGUAAUGU
Molecule: unclassified non-coding RNA, 24 nt
Filed under: Mus musculus (house mouse)
Lineage: Eukaryota; Metazoa; Chordata; Mammalia; Rodentia; Muridae
Description: oocyte_clustered_small_RNA6875
Source: RNAcentral